GUAGUAGAUCAUUCAAAAUAUGACGGUAGUAGCUACUUAUGCAUAACAAGGUUGUAAAUCUGCGAUAAAGUAGGUAAUCUCCCCAUAGGUAUAAAAACGGAUUAACCAACAAAACAGACACCAUUCUUCUUAACGCAUCGUCUACAUCCAGAGUCAUGAAGAAAGUGGCAUUAAUUACGCUGAUGGUGAUAGUUGUAUUUGCCGUCUUUAUAGACCAGGCUAAUGCUCAAAUUGACUGGGCGUGCACUGCAAGCUGUGCAAUCUGGAAUGCUUGUAAAAUAAGGAAUAUGUAUGAAGGUGAAGAUGUAGCCGAGUGCGGUGAUCCUCCGCAAGGAUGCAACUGUGAUGUUAUAGCAACACGCAGAUGAUGUAGUAGUUGGCAGAUAAGAGCAUAUCUGGGUGUUGAAAGAUUCAUUUUUGUUGUACGUAGAUAGUAACAUUUAACUUCACUUCACUGUUAAAUGCAUCACAUUCAGCUUGGGUGUGAAACACCCAUGGAAUGUCAUGCAUAAGUACUAAGUAGCCUUACUCUUCAACUUUAUUAAGUAUAAUAUGUACUUUGUUGUACUUUUUAUUGAAUAAAUGCGUUUGUUUCGUUUA
Molecule: long non-coding RNA, 600 nt
Organism: Photinus pyralis (common eastern firefly)
Lineage: Eukaryota; Metazoa; Arthropoda; Insecta; Coleoptera; Lampyridae
Exons: 2
Source: RefSeq, a predicted model, not a curated record